Molecule: ribosomal RNA, 492 nt
Filed under: uncultured bacterium
Lineage: Bacteria
Description: partial 16S ribosomal RNA
Rfam family: Bacterial small subunit ribosomal RNA
Source: RNAcentral
AGUGAACGCUGGCGGUAGGCCUAACACAUGCAAGUCGAACGGCAGCACAGUAAGAGCUUGCUCUUACGGGUGGCGAGUGGCGGACGGGUGAGGAAUACAUCGGAAUCUACUUUUUCGUGGGGGAUAACGUAGGGAAACUUACGCUAAUACCGCAUACGACCUACGGGUGAAAGCAGGGGAUCUUCGGACCUUGCGCGAUUGAAUGAGCCGAUGUCGGAUUAGCUAGUUGGCGGGGUAAAGGCCCACCAAGGCGACGAUCCGUAGCUGGUCUGAUAGGAUGAUCAGCCACACUAGAACUGAGAGACGGUCCGGAUUCCUACGGUAGGCAGCAGAGAGGAAUAUUGGGCAAUGGGCGCAAGCCUGAUCCAGCCAUACCGCGUGGGUGAAGGAGGCCUUCGGGUUGUAAAGCCCUUUUGUUGGGAAAGAAAAGCAGCAGGUUAAUACCCCGCUGUUCUGACGGUACCCAAAGAAUAAGCACCGGCUAACUUCGUG